UGGGAGGCUUUGAAGUGUGGACGCCAGUCUGCAUGGAGCCGGCCUUGAAAUACCACCCUUUAAUGUUUGAUGUUCUAACGUGGACCCGUUACCCGGGUUGCGGACAGUGUCUGGUGGGUAGUUUGACUGGGGCGGUCUCCUCCUAAAGAGUAACGGAGGAGCACGAAGGUUGGCUAAUCCUGGUCGGACAUCAGGAGGUUAGUGCAAUGGCAUAAGCCAGCUUGACUGCGAGCGUGACGGCGCGAGCAGGUGCGAAAGCAGGUCAUAGUGAUCCGGUGGUUCUGAAUGGAAGGGCCAUCGCUCAACGGAUAAAAGGUACUCCGGGGAUAACAGGCUGAUACCGCCCAAGAGUUCAUAUCGACGGCGGUGUUUGGCACCUCGAUGUCGGCUCAUCACAUCCUGGGGCUGAAGUAGGUCCCAAGGGUAUGGCUGUUCGCCAUUUAAAGUGGUACGCGAGCUGGGUUUAGAACGUCGUGAGACAGUUCGGUCCCUAUCUGCCGUGGGCGCUGGAGAACUGAGGGGGGCUGCUCCUAGUACGAGAGGACCGGAGUGGACGCAUCACUGGUGUUCGGGUUGUCAUGCCAAUGGCACUGCCCGGUAGCUAAAUGCGGAAGAGAUAAGUGCUGAAAGCAUCUAAGCACGAAACUUGCCCCGA
RNAcentral lists this ribosomal RNA (655 nucleotides) under Salmonella enterica subsp. enterica serovar Liverpool. RNAcentral's name for it is "partial 23S ribosomal RNA". It matches the Rfam family "Bacterial large subunit ribosomal RNA", at positions 2148 to 2802 of the family's 2925-position model. The record is from RNAcentral. Lineage: Bacteria; Pseudomonadati; Pseudomonadota; Gammaproteobacteria; Enterobacterales; Enterobacteriaceae.